Molecule: regulatory RNA element, 46 nt
Organism: Daphnia magna
Lineage: Eukaryota; Metazoa; Arthropoda; Branchiopoda; Diplostraca; Daphniidae
Rfam family: Histone 3' UTR stem-loop
About the family: The mRNAs of metazoan histone genes lack a poly-A tail. 3' end processing occurs at a site between a highly conserved stem-loop (modelled by this family) and a purine rich region around 20 nts downstream (the histone downstream element, or HDE).
Source: Rfam
UCAUCGGCCCUUUUAAGGGCCACCAAAACUUAUAAGAAAUUGAUUU